GACCCCUUCAACUCUUGGUGGUGCACAGAUGGGCCUUCUCUUGGCUGGAGUCCUGUCCCCACCUCCUCUUCCAUAAUGUAAGAAUGCAGGCUGGCCUCACUGAAUAUGUCUGGGCACAGAAGAAGCUCUGCAGGGACAACUUUGAAAGGGCAGCCCUAAAGGUUUUCAUUUGCAGGUGACAGAAAAACUCAGCAUAGAGAAUUGUGGAGGGAAAGCAGUGAUGGACCUGAUCCCCCAUGUCUCCAUGGAGACCUAGAUCCUCUUGGUAAUCAGCCUGUGCUCCUCUGUCUGUGAGUAGCUACUCAGGCUCUUCUCGUCUGUAACCCUGGAACUGGGUGGUAAUCAGACCCUUCUUUCCCUUAUCUCUUUGGAAGAUCAAAAGAGAUAAUGGAGGAGAAGUUGCUAGAAACACACAAGCUCCUAUUGAUCUUCAGCAGAUCCUUGAGCUCCUACCUGCUCCCCGACUUCCUAUUCCUGUGGCUAGGGAGGUUAUUGACAAAACUGGUUGCUAGGGAUGAUCUAAUUGAAUUUUAGACCCAGACCAAUGACCCAGAUACAAUAGAGGCAGAUUACAAAUAACUCAUUGCCAUGUGCAGUGGGAACCUCAUCCCUUUUUCCAUUCCCUUUGGGAAUUCUGGGUUGUUUGUGUUUUUGUCUCAUUAUCUUUACCUUCUCCAUUAUGUCUGCUGGAGAAGAUGUGUGGCUCUCUUGUGUAUGUGGAGGUUUACCGUUCCCCUCUCUCCUCCAGCAUCAUUUAUGAAAAGCUCCACAGUGAAUUCCAUACCUGGUGGGAGGGUCACACUUCACCUUCCUUCUUUUAUAUGAUCUCCCCUGGAACCCCCACUCCCUCCUAGAACUCAAUUUCUAUACCGCGCAAUAUGCAGGACUAUUUAUCUCUAAAUGUUGAACUUUUAGAGCAGAGACAGCUGUCAGAAAUAUCGGGGAGGGUUACCAGAGCCCAGCUGGGCCUUGCAGAGGUACGCCUGUGGAUCCUUCAAACACAUGACUUUUCCUGAAAUGAUCUGGUUUGGUUUUAUGAUAUUUUACUAGAGUUACUGGAUUUUUACAGACACCUAUACUGCUUUAAAGGCUCACCUCUGGAAAAGAAGAAACAGGUAUUAAUUCAACCAUCUGGAACACCUCACAGUUUUUGGUUUGAUAUUGCCAGUGUGUCUCUUGCUAUCAAUAGGAAGGAACAUCAACUUUCAGAGGGCACCUCUCUUGUGGCUGAAAGAUCUCUUGGGGCUCCUUUUCAUACUUUCCCCAUUUGCCACUAUGGGACCAACCUUGGCAUUGCUGGCAGCCUCUUCCCUCUGUCUCUCUUCUUUCCCCAGUCUGCUCUAUGUCAGUCACGGUGGAGUGGAGAGGCUUUAAGGAUCCAGGACCCACAGCUGUGGGGCUCAGAACAGGAUGAUGAGUUGCAGGCAGGCCUGGCCUAGGGAGCACCAGCCCUAAUGGGUUUUCAUACAGAGGUAGUUGAUGGAUGGAGGCAGCGAAUGAAUGGCUUUGUGACUGACCCUCUUGAUAAGUGUGAGCACGGUUGCCACUGUGCUUACAAGCAAGCAUUGGUCACCCAUUCUUGUGUGCAGUGUCACUCAGGGGAAAUAUGGGAAAUUAGCCUUCCCUGUAUAUCAAAUAAUACAGAGUUUCUGACAACAGUGAGUUGGGUAUCUCUGAAGGUGUUCAGAUUUCUCUGAUGUCAUAGGAAGCCAUGGACCCAGUUGUCAUUUUAUACAAAUAAGAGCACUGUGAGCACUCCUGGAUUUUACUGGGAAGACAGAUCUGACAAAGGCCAGAUACUAAAAUAGGAAUAUGGUUCAGAGGAAAAGAAAAUUAUAAAAGCCUCAGAACAAACUAUAAGAGCGAUGUUACCACAGGUGCUUCAUGACAUCGUGAUGUUGAGAAGAUGCACUUAAGCAAAAUCUUAUCAUUGGAGCAGAAGAAAAAAAAAACUUCCCAGUUCUAUCUCAAUCAUUAGUCCAUGAAUGAAAAUCAUCACUUCAUGGAAUAAUCAAUUUCCUAAAUUGACACAAACAAAUGCAAUACCCUGGCAGAAUUCCAGUCUGAAGCUCUCAGGAACACUCUAGUUUGGAGACGCUUAGCAUGGAUUCACUUUAGGAUGGGAGAAUAAAGAGUUCAGGUGCUUUUAGUUAAUCAUGAGUUUCAGGAGGUGGAGUAGGUGAGUGCAUGUGAUUAUUGCUUUGGGGUUUUUUCUGUCAUUUAUCGCUUAUGUGUCACUCCCUGGCUUGACUGUUCUGGUUCCUGAGUCUGUGACAAGCGAGCCCCACGUACAGUCACAGUCUCUGUGGCUGGCUUUCUCUUUCACUGUUUAGGUAUGGGGCCUCCUCACAAGGACAUUUUAAGGAGCUGGGCACUCUGGGACCAAAACCUCUGCCACUUUUGGGAACUACCCUGGAUUAUCAUAUGGUGAGUCUUGCUCAACUCCCUGUUUUGCUUCUCAUGGUUGCAAAGAUCCACUUAGUUCUAUCAGUCAAAGUGCUGCUCCUCAGGAGGAAGUACUGAGAUUUUUAGGACUUCACACCAUCCCUAUGAUGUACAUAAGUCUGGUGGACCAAACCGUCCACUGGUGUCUUCAGAUUCCUAACUCUACUUGAGAGAGAGAGCUCAUGAGGUAAGAUAAGAGCAUGCCUAAGGAGGGAGACUUGUGCAUGUCCCUGGAAAUCUCAUUCACUGUCCCUCAGCUUUGAUUUCCCACAGAGGGGAUAAUGCAGAGGUUUGCAGAUGUUAGAGGCAACAGACUCACAAGCCAGAACACCUUAGAUAGACAAGCAGUUGCUUCAUGUUCACAGAUGAGGACAAUCCCUGCCAUGUCUACAAAGUCACAAGAAACCUCAAGAAGGACUGAUUUACCCACUUCCAGUAUCUCCUGUAUUUUCUCUCCUGUCCACUCAGAUGUCCCUGAUUAUGAGCUGCCCUUUAACUUGCAAUGAGGGGUAGUCAGCCUGCUCUCAUGAUAUUCCAAUCAUUUGUGCCCCGUUGGUGCUAUGGUUAGUACAUUGGAAUAACAGAGUUUUGUUUUCUGUUCCCGGGGCAUGUGGAAAUUUGGUGAAGAGUGUUAUAAGAAAUAUGGGAACAUGUGAAGGUGAGUAUUCUGGAAACUUCCCUUGGGUAGAUUUGUUAGGAUGUGGCACCUCGGUAUGUGAGGAAAAUCUUAACCCAGAGUUCUUGGGAUGCAGCUCUCUGUUGAAAAGCCUUUGGUGUCUGGUCCUGCCAAGGUCCCAUAUGUUACCAGAUGUCAAGGUCCAGACCCUGAAUUAAGUUGAGAAUGUUGCAGGUAAUGAUUUUUUUUUUUUUUUUUUUUAGGCUUUGAUGGCCCAAGGACUCCCAGGCUCACCUUCUGUCUAGUGCCUGGCAUUUCCUUUUCUAUCUCAUUCUACUGACUUGGAAGAAGUGAUGUUGUCUAUUUUUUAAGCAGAUCCCUUUGGGCUCAUGUAAAUAAUGACUUUGAAGGGUGGCCCAACUUCCCUGGCAGAGCUGCUGGAAGGUUUCUGGGAGCAGUAGAAGAGGUGCAAUCUUUGUACUUAUUAGAAGCAAUUCAGUGAAGUCUUUCCCUUUUUAAUCCCUCCUUUUCUCCUCCCAUGAAUCCUCAGAAACUGCAGGGCUGGCCGCAUGCUCUGCUGAGGUAGCAUGGCCUAUUAAAGGCCAGGGCACAGAGCGAUGAAUCUCCUAUGGCUCAUCUACCACUGCCCCUUGCGACAUUAUUACUUGAGACCAGUUGAUAGUUUGUCUUCAACUUUUUAACUCCCCCCCAAUAUGUCUUAAAAACAAUUAUUCAAGUAUUAUUUUAAACAGCCACCAUUGCCACUAUGACACCAGUAAUAGGUUCUACAGGAUGAAGUUUAUAGGGAUUUUACGUCUUGACACCUAUUUCCUAUAAGUAGAUAAUGCAUUAAAAGGGAAAAUGACUGUGAAAGAUCAGGAACAUUAAAGGAAAAACCUGUCAAACUGAUAGAGGAAUUCAUGUGACAAGAAUAUACAUGUGCAAAGACAAAAUAAUUAGGUUAUUUAGAGUAAAGAGUUUAUAUCAUACAAAGCAUGUGACUUACCAGGUUCUUCUGUCAAUGCAAAUGAGGGAUUUAAUCAUUCCAAAAUCAUGCUGUUAAUGCUAAGAUGAAGCAGAUUUAAAUUAUUGGUAGCACAGGCACAUUGGCUCACAAAACUGUCAAAGGAGAUUUUGUAAAAUAAAUAAUGCUCAAUUUUGUAACAGGCACUAAAAUAUUUGUGUAACCAAUAUCACAUUUUAUCAGCAUAAUUAAUAUUUUUCUCCUUCCAUAUUUGAAGUGUUUAUUUUGAAAAUUAACAUUUUUCAUUAUUGCAUUAAAUAUUGCUGACAACAUCAUUAGAAUUCUCUCCACAACUUGUGUGAAUUCUACAAGGAAAGAUAGUUUUCAUUUACUUAAUCAACAUUUUUUUUUUUUUGCCUAAAAGCUACUAUGUGCUAUUCCAAAUAUUGCUGAUAUAGCAGUGAAUAUCCCUGCUAUAGAUAAUAAGAGAGAACAUAGACAAUAAAAAAUAGUUCAAUUAAUUUAAAGUAUCAUAUUAGAAAGUCCUAAGUCCUAUGAAGACCAUAGGUCAGAGUAAGGAACUUAAGAGUGGUAGAUAAGGUAGUUAGGGACAUCCUCUUUGAGCCAUUAAGGAUUAGCAAACACCUGAAUGAAGUCAAGGACAAGUUCCUGGAUAAGGGUUUCUAGGAUGCUGUUUUCCAGUCAGUGGAGCAGUCAAUGGUAACGCCUUGAGACACACAUAUGGUAUGUGAAGAACUGAAAGGCUAGUGUCCCUGGAACAGAAUGAACAAGACAAAGUAAAGGAACAUAUUCAGGGUGAUGACCAGGGAGCAGCUAAUGGAAGAUCUUACUCACUAUUCUUGGUGAUAGGAAUCCUUGGGACAUUUGGGAAGAAGAAAAGACAUGAUAUCAUUUAAAGUUAGUGAGGGGCUGGGGAUGUGGCUCAAGAGGUAGCGCACUAGCCUGGCAUGCAUGCAGCCUGGGUUCGAUCCUCAGCACCACAUACAAACAAAGAUGUUGUGUUCGCCGAAAACUAAAAAAAUAAAUGUUAAAAAAUUCUCUCUCUCUCUCUAAAAAAAAUAAAGUUAGUGAAAGGAUAAUUAUGAUUGUAAUGCCUUCCACUAAUGUCAUGUAUGUAAGAAAUAAAAAAAUAAAAAUAAACCCAAUUUAUCUAAAAAUAAAUAAAUUACUUAGACUGUUGUGGACAGUGAUUUGGCUUCAUUAAAUAUAAUAGCAUGAAAAAUAUAGAAAAGUGACCCUAUUAAGGAUACGGUUUA
This 5302-nucleotide long non-coding RNA is filed under the name Marmota monax (woodchuck). The record is from RNAcentral. Lineage: Eukaryota; Metazoa; Chordata; Mammalia; Rodentia; Sciuridae.